RNAcentral lists this ribosomal RNA (790 nucleotides) under Pestalotiopsis thailandica. Its description in RNAcentral is "partial large subunit ribosomal RNA". It matches the Rfam family "Eukaryotic large subunit ribosomal RNA", at positions 101 to 916 of the family's 3401-position model. Lineage: Eukaryota; Fungi; Ascomycota; Sordariomycetes; Amphisphaeriales; Sporocadaceae. The record is from RNAcentral.
GCAACAGCUCAAAUUUGAAAUCUGGCCCUCGGGUCCGAAUUGUAAUUUGUAGAGGAUGAUUUUGGUGCGGUAUCUUCCGAGUUCCUUGGAACAGGACGCCUUAGAGGGUGAGAGCCCCGUACGGUUGAAUGCCUAGCCUCUGUAAAUCUCCUUCGACGAGUCGAGUAGUUUGGGAAUGCUGCUCUAAAUGGGAGGUAAAUUUCUUCUAAAGCUAAAUAUUGGCCAGAGACCGAUAGCGCACAAGUAGAGUGAUCGAAAGAUGAAAAGCACUUUGAAAAGAGGGUUAAAUAGCACGUGAAAUUGUUGAAAGGGAAGGAUUUGUGACCAGACUUUUUCUGGGCGGAUCAUCCGGGGUUCUCUCCGGUGCACUUUGCCCAGUAAAGGCCAGCAUCGAUUUUCGGCGGCGGAUAAAAGCAGUGGGAAUGUGGCUCCCUACGGGGAGUGUUAUAGCCCAUUGUAUAAUACGCUGCUGGGGAUCGAGGUACGCGCUUCUGCAAGGAUGCUGGCGUAAUGGUUAUCAAUCACCCGUCUUGAAACACGGACCAAGGAGUCGAACAUUUAUGCGAGUGUUUGGGUGUUAAACCCUCACGCGUAAUGAAAGUGAACGGAGGUGAGAGCCCGUACGGGUGCAUCAUCGACCGAUCCUGAAGUUUUCGGAUGGAUUUGAGUAAGAGCAUAACUGUUCGGACCCGAAAGAUGGUGAACUAUGCGUGGAUAGGGUGAAGCCAGAGGAAACUCUGGUGGAGGCUCGCAGCGGUUCUGACGUGCAAAUCGAUCGUCAAAUCUGCGC